This is a long non-coding RNA of Exaiptasia diaphana, 419 nucleotides long. RefSeq lists it as uncharacterized. The record is from RefSeq and is a predicted model, not a curated record. Lineage: Eukaryota; Metazoa; Cnidaria; Anthozoa; Actiniaria; Aiptasiidae. The transcript is spliced from 2 exons.
UUGCAAGAAAACUUUGCACUCUGCUGAGAAGUAAUGCUGUUGUAUAAUAUAUCUGACAAGUUGAAGAAUGGAACAAGGGGAAGAAUUACAGAUUUAAAUGAAGAUGGACCAAAGUUAAUUGAUUAACUAUGGAAGGACCAACUGUAGACUUUUGUCAAAUAGGUUCCUCUCUGCCAAGAAAACAUAUCAAAGACUACUUGAAGCAUGAUGGAAAACUUACAAUGGAUCCUGCUGGUGCAUGAGAUUUCAACAUGAAAAUAGAAUAGAAAGCAUUUUAAAGACAAGAUUAGCUGGAUUGGAAACUAUCAAUGAACAAACAAAUACUGCCAGUUUACAGUUACUAUUACUUACUAGCUUAUUGUUUGCUCUUUGAGGUGAAAAGUAACCUUGAAAAGUAAUAAAAAUAUUGGCAAACCAUA